GAUCGGCUGAGUACCCUCAGGUUAACAAAUAACAUGAUAAUCCAAACUUUAAACAGAUAGAAUCUAUAGCUAAAGUUAAUAUCGAGGGGAAAAGCAAGCAUCUAUAGCUAAAGUUAAUAUCAAGGGAAAAAAGCAAGCAUAGGCAGUAUGGAAAACCAAAGCUAUGGGUCUGAAAAAUCCUUCUUCCUUUCAUUUGUUUAACUGUAACUUACGAGAUGCAUCCAUCCCCAUGACCAAAGCUCAGAUUGUUGCUUUUCUCUAACCUUGAGCAGAAUUCACCAGGGAUGUCUUGUACAUUGGCCUGGCUUAACCCAGUCAGUUUGCCAGUUAACCAGUUAACUCUCAUGGAACAUGUGGGACUCCAUACAAGGACAGGUUUGGGUGCAUAUGCACAGUCAUCCAGCAAGGGAAGGACUUCUGGGUGCUUGCAUUUGGAUAUGGUGGAGACAGGACCAGGAAGAGGAGCUCUGCAAAAAUGGGACAUAGAAAAACAGUGAGGUCAGUGGGUUUUAUUGCACUAAAGAAGCAACUUUCUCCUUUCUUUUCUUUUCUUCCCCUCUUACCAUGACAGAAUGGCAUCUGAAAAGGAAGGGAAGAAAUAAUCUCAGACUGAACUCAGAGAAAGGAGGAGAAGAGCAGCAGCAGUUCUUUAUGCAUUUGAGUACACAGAGGUGGUGCAUACUUCUGGAAUAAGGCACAGCAGUAGAUGGAAGCAAAUAAUAAGUGAUCACCAGUUGCAGAAGAAGCCUACCUGCCAUCUCUAGUAUAAAGCCUCUCCUUUCUCCAGGAUACAACCACAGGGAUUUUUCUAGACUGAGGAAUUGUGUCCUGCUCUUGGUCCCUCUUUCUGGGGUGUUUCACUGCAUGGGGAAAUGAAGAAAAAAAUUAGGAGAGUCCAGUAUGAUCGAAAUACUCAGCUCAAAAUACACAAAAGUGAACAAACAAUUUAUGUCCAACAUAUGAACCCAAAUGGUUGAAAGAAGUAAUAAACACCUUUGAAUUAUAGAUGUCCCCUAAAAAGAGAGAUAUUGUAAGCACAUGUGAUAGCAUCAUUCACCACAUUUGCUGCAAAUGUGUUCUUAGUUCAUCAUAUUAUUGAAGGAUGCAAACUUAUCACAUUAAAUAGGACUAUUGUAAUUUAAAAAUAGGAAAAGAAGUUCAAUAAUUUCUGCUUCAAAGUGGUGGAUAUGCCUGCUUUUACAUGAGUGCAUCAUGAGCUUAUCAAUUUCAAACUAACAGCACAGAGGACUUUCUCAAGGUUGUUGUUUCCCUGAGAUUCUCCUUGGGGUUGGUGUCCCUCAAGGUACUAAGGGUUCCCCCAAGGUUGCUUUUCCCUGGGAGUUUCCUCUGGGUUGCUGUUCCCAGAGGUAAUAAGGUUUUCAGUCUUCUCUUUGCCCUAAGUGUUACACACCAGAGGUAGAGACGACAAGCUGAGUCCACCGGUGCACAUUUCCAAGGUUGUUUAUUCUUCAUUAUCUCAGUCCUUUUUCAGCUCUGCCAGGCACUUCCCUGGCAGGGUACCUUAUCUUAGUUCUUUCUCAGCUCUGUGAGGCAUCCCCAGCAGAGCAGGACACGCUGCAGACUGGGCGGAUCAGAGAGCCCCACACCUUAUGUACAGUACCCCUGACCCAACCACUGUCCACAACGUACUUUUUAUUUACAAAAUUGUACCAAUACCUACUACCUAUGCUAACAUGUCAGUUCUACUCUAAACCAAUCCUUGAGAUCCAACUCAGCAGAAAAUGGGGGACGAGAGCAAGAACAAGGAGCACAGGGGCCACUCCCCAAUUCCUCCAUCUUGCCUCUUCAACCCCAUAUACUGAGAAUCCUAGAUUCUACAUUUACAUUCUAUGAUAAACUAAAUACUACUUAUUUUGAAUUCUCCCAGCUUGUGAUUCUUCAUACAAUGUGGGCAUUCACUCCCAUGGACAGGGGUCAGAGGCAAUGUCCUCCUGGGCUCUGUGUGAGGCUGGUUGACCCCCUUGUACAGAUCCCAGACCCCCCUGUCUGGUCUCCAAACCCUCCAGGGUGGCCAGAGGGAUGUUCUAGACUCCAACAGACUUCACUAAGUGUGUUCUGUCUGGGGUUGAACCUUGCUGGCAGUGCACCCGUGCAGCAGGUGAACGCAAUGGCAGGACAUUCAUUUCACUUCUCAGGAGAUUUUCCCUAUGUGAUUAUUGUACAGAUGAUACAGAGAGAAUGGGAACUGGGAUGACAUUUCAGUGCUGAGAAACUUGCUCUUGUUGUUGCUCAGCUGGGGAACAUCACCCUCAGCUCUCAAGCUGUGUAGUGCAUCAAGUAGGUUUGACCUGUAGGUUCUGUAAUAUCUGCAAGCCAGGCCUCUCACUCCCAAGAAAGUGCUCCAAUUUCUUCAGUGCUCAGCUACAAGGUAGGUAGAGUUACCAUGUGCUUCUCUCCUGCCAAAUGAGAUCCCAAGUGGCUAGAGGUUCCUACUGUCAACAAAGGCUUCUUUAGGGUAAAAAGGGAGUGUCCAGCUUAGCAAGAUUUCUGCCUCCAGUGAACUUCACAGGUUUAUGUUUUCUCACCUAAUGUAUGUGAAUUUUGUAGACUACUAGAUCAAUAGCAGGCCAGCCACUGAAUCUGUGAGGGAAAUAGUGCUUCAGUGAAGUAAAAAACUGGAAAGGCAUUUAAAGUAUAUUCUUGACUUUAUAAUUUUAUACCUGCCCAAUACAUCAGAAUACAGUGAUGUCUGGAAUGGACAUGAGAGCUGUACUGUAACAUGAAAAUCUGCAUACACUACAGCAAAAAAAACCAAAAAACCAAACCGACCAACCAACAAACAAACAAAAAACCACAAAAAUAAACAAGCAAAACCCCAAAAAACAACCCAAAUCCCCAACCCAAACUUUUUCUGCUGUUGUUAUAACAGCUCCCCAAAUUAAAUAAAUUGUGUGAUGAAAAAUCCAUUUAAAACAUGAUGGCCCAUGGAUCAAGUCUAACAUUUUUGUUAAAGACAUCCCCUCCUCCCUCCAAAAAUUAAAAUAACUAACUUUUCUCUUCUGCUACAGCUCGUGUCAUAAACACAGCUUGAGACAAUAACAUUUGUAUCAUAUUUCUGAGCAGAGGAUGAAAGAGUGUGAUAGAAUGGGGAUUGCGAAUGGACUGUCAGUAUAAUAGGAAACAUUUCUGUCCCUGAAAGCUGUGUGUUCUUCUCUGCCAGCUCAAUAAAACAUAGAUUACUUUUUAAGUUUGCAACAAGAGGAUCAGGGUUUUUUCUGCAUUUAAUUGUUUUAGCAUUUGGGUAGAUAUAAUUCUUUUAAGAGGAAGCAUGAUGAAAGACAUUUAUCUGUAAGAUAUUUUUAAGGUACUCAGAGUAUUUAUGGACGUAAAAAGUUCAGCUUCUUGUCAUCUUGACAUCAGCAAUGGAAUAAAAUUUACACCAUAAUGUUGAGAUAGUUUUAAAAUAGUAUCUUUUUCUAUGUUAUAUGUACAAGUAUAGCUGCAACUUUCCAAGAACUGUAGCCGUAAUAA
Long non-coding RNA from Prinia subflava (tawny-flanked prinia), 3492 nucleotides. RefSeq lists it as uncharacterized. Lineage: Eukaryota; Metazoa; Chordata; Aves; Passeriformes; Cisticolidae. The transcript is spliced from 4 exons. The record is from RefSeq and is a predicted model, not a curated record.